This 1366-nucleotide long non-coding RNA is filed under the name Vigna radiata. RNAcentral's name for it is "long non-coding RNA (VRAD_LNC004009)". The record is from RNAcentral. Lineage: Eukaryota; Viridiplantae; Streptophyta; Magnoliopsida; Fabales; Fabaceae.
AUUACUAGAAAUUAAACUAAAUAAAGGGAAAGUAAAUAUACAAGAAUAUGCUAAUAAAGGCUAAUUAUUCUAAUUUAAAACUAAUUAUUAUAAUUGAUAUCCUCCCGCAAGUUGGACAAUCUGGAAGAGAGAUGCAACUUGAACAGUAAUGAGUCAAACCGAGGAUGAAGCAGAUAGGCUUUGUAUUCUCCUUCAGUUGAGGAACGCCCAAUCUGCAUCUUUAGACACCGUGUGGAGACACUCCUUUAAUUGCUUGAGGUAUAAGAGGGUCCUGUCGACGUAGGUUUGAUAAGCAGGAUUCAGAGUUGGAGGUACAACGGUGGUGGAGAUCGUCAUUGGCGGCGCAGGAAAGGAUUCAUCUGGAUAUUAAGGAAGGAUCGACGUCCUGUGUUGAAGAAGAUAAAAAUAAAAUAAAAUAAAAUAAAAAUGAAGGAAUAGAGGCAUUCCAAGUGGUUCUUGAGAGCGUCUGGAAAACCGACAAUGGAGGAAGGAGCGACGUCCUUUUGGUGGCCGGUUACAGUGACGGUUGGGGUGAUGGUGACCGGUGACAGUGAUGGUGGCCAUAUGUACUUGGCUAGGGCAAUUAGGUGGAUUACACAUAAAGAAACAUGUUCAAAAAGAGACUUUAAGGGGGGGCCGCCGGUGGCAGCGGCCAUAGGCCACCGACGGCAACAAAGACAGAGUAGAAAAGGAUCAGAAAACCUGCUCUGAUACCAUAUAGAAAGUAUUGUAAAAUGAAUUUCUUAUUUGAUCAUUGGAUUGCAAUAGUAUAAAUAUACAAAUUGAUAACCUAAUUGGAAAGAGUUAACGGGAAUAAACUCUACCAAUUUAAUAUCAAUUAUUAUAAUAUCAAUUAUAAUAAUUGAUAUUUAUUACUAGAAAUUAAACUAAAUAAAGAGAAAGUAAAUAUACAAGAAUAUGUUAAUAAAGACUAAUUAUUCUAAUUUAAAAUUAAUUAUUAUAAUUGAUAUGUACAAACCAACCCGGUGUUGCAACUCAGAUAGCCCGAAACUGCAACUCAGACAACUCGACAUUGCAGCAUGGACAACCCAUCCUAGAGCUACGGCUCAAACAACCUAGUAUUGCAACUCGGAAAACCUGACAAUGACAAAAAACGUAGAAAACAACGCAUUCCAGCAUGAUACAACACGAUUUUACCACAAAAACAAAAAGCAAAGCAUACAUCAACGCGUACUAACACAUCAUGCAUCAUAAACACAACCAUAUGGACCAAAGCAAGCUUUUAAACUCACUACUACUCCCUAAGUUUGCUAGGACGAGUUCUAUUGCAUUCCAGACCUAAACACAGACUUUGAACAACCCUUCCUAAAUGUUUCACUACUACCAAGUGUUACCAAUAAGGGAG